GUGCAUCGGCAGCUAUACAUGCAAGUCGAACGCAUUCUAGCAAUAGGAUGAGUGGCGCACGGGUGCGUAACGCGUAACCAACCUACCUACAUCUGGGGGAUAGCCCGCCGAAAGGCGGAUUAAUACCGCAUAAACCAGCAGAACGGCAUCGUUUCACUGGUAAAGAUUUAUUGGAUGUAGAUGGGGUUGCGUGCCAUUAGCUAGUUGGCGGGGUAACGGCCCACCAAGGCGACGAUGGCUAGGGGACCUGAGAGGGUGAUCCCCCACACUGGCACUGAGAUACGGGCCAGACUCCUACGGGAGGCAGCAGUAGGGAAUAUUGGGCAAUGGGCGAGAGCCUGACCCAGCCAUGCCGCGUGCAGGAUGAAGGCCUUCUGGGUUGUAAACUGCUUUUCUCAGGGAAGAAAAAGGGGAUGCGUCCCAAACUGACGGUACCUGAGGAAUAAGCACCGGCUAACUCCGUGCCAGCAGCCGCGGUAAUACGGAGGGUGCAAGCGUUGUCCGGAUUUAUUGGGUUUAAAGGGUGCGUAGGUGGCCCGUUAAGUCCGGGGUGAAAGCCCACUGCUCAACAGUGGAACUGCCCUGGAUACUGGCGGGCUUGAGUCCAGACGAGGUUGGCGGAAUGGAUGGUGUAGCGGUGAAAUGCAUAGAUACCAUCCAGAACCCCGAUUGCGUAGGCAGCUGACUAGGCUGGUACUGACACUGAGGCACGAAAGCGUGGGGAGCGAACAGGAUUAGAUACCCUGGUAGUCCACGCCGUAAACGAUGGAUACUCGUUGCUAGCGAUACACCGUUAGUGACUUAGCGAAAGCGUUAAGUAUCCCACCUGGGGAGUACGCUCGCAAGAGUGAAACUCAAAGGAAUUGACGG
This 870-nucleotide ribosomal RNA is filed under the name uncultured bacterium. RNAcentral describes it as "bacterial SSU rRNA". It matches the Rfam family "Bacterial small subunit ribosomal RNA", at positions 33 to 916 of the family's 1533-position model. The record is from RNAcentral.